Molecule: ribosomal RNA, 253 nt
Filed under: uncultured bacterium
Lineage: Bacteria
Description: partial 16S ribosomal RNA
Rfam family: Bacterial small subunit ribosomal RNA
Source: RNAcentral
UACAGAGGGGGCAAGCGUUGUUCGGAAUUACUGGGCGUAAAGGGCGCGUAGGCGGCCUGUUAAGUCGAACGUGAAAUCCCUGGGCUCAACCCAGGAACUGCGUCCGAUACUGGAAGGCUUGAAUCCGGGAGAGGGAUGCGGAAUUCCAGGUGUAGCGGUGAAAUGCGUAGAUAUCAGGAGGAACACCGAUGGCGAAGGCAGGUCUCUGGGCUGAUACUGACGCUCAUGCACGAAAGCGUGGGGAGCAAACAGG